Long non-coding RNA from Acanthopagrus latus (yellowfin seabream), 3543 nucleotides. RefSeq lists it as uncharacterized. NCBI's taxonomy places the organism in Eukaryota, Metazoa, Chordata, Actinopteri, Spariformes, Sparidae. The record is from RefSeq and is a predicted model, not a curated record. The transcript is spliced from 3 exons.
CCAUGAGACAAUGUAAACCAUGUAUUAUCCUACUUAUUGGUGAGUGCUGAUAACUCAUAUGGCAGGAACUAUUUAACCAUUCUUAUGCUGGAAGGUAAUAUUCAAAUGUUAUUGAUUUAUGUGAUGUUUAACAAUGAAACAAACAUUUUUUUUUUAAUAUUGUAUGAACCAUAUGGACAUAUGUUUGUGUAUCAAAUUUCAUUUCAUUUCAAAACUGGUCUGCUAUAUGUAUUGAUAUAAGCAAAACAAACACAUUUUUAUAUCAUAUGAACCAUGAACAUACAGGAUAGCUGGUUGAAUCCAUAAAUAAAUCAAUUCAUGUAGACUUCAUUGUGCAUAAGCCAGUCAAAUUUGGAGAGAGUAGCAAACCGACUGCCAACUUCCUGAUCUUGAUAGUAAAUGCAGUCUCGCCUAUAUGGCCAGACAAAACCCUUUUUCUCUCCAAGUUGUUUCAUGCAGUUUACCUGCAGCCCCUCCAUACUUAACAAUCAACAAUUUGUCCCACAUAUCAUAAUUAAGACAAACUGUCCUUCUGUGUAUCCUUCAUCUGAGAUGGUGUCUGUAUCCUCAGCUUGGGCCUCUCCAAUUGAUGCACUUGAUUGGGCACAUGCACACAGCACCUAAGUAGAAGAGCUUCAAAAGGAGAGAUUUAUAUGAUAGUGACACAUUUGUCUGCAGUGAUUGCAAUAACUAGGCUCUACUCCAUCAAAUUGGGUGUGCCCAAUUUACAAAUAUGUAGGGUUUAUACUGACUGGGCUUGGGGCUCUCUAGUGGGCAAGCUGGAUGGAGAAGAAGGCACCUCCAUAGCAGAGUCACUAUUCACUUAAGUCAAAGAAAGAGAUUUAUUUGUCAGGGAAAUGUUUGUUUGCAGUGAGUUAGCUAUAUACGUUAUACUCACGUUAUACUCACUGGGCUCGAGCAUUUCAUCCAUGGUGGAGAUCUGCUCUUCCUCAAUCCACAUGAUGGUGACAUUUGCUGCUCAUGAGGAAGCAGUUUGAUCGAUUCUGGUACUGGGUUGCUGGCCCAUCGCCGAGGACAUGCAGGGUGUCGAUUGCAUUUUCAUGUCAUCUUUGGAAAUUGGCAAUAACUGGCUUGAUGUGUGCCCACACGGCACACUCAUCAUGAUGCAAGGACUGGGAAAUGGUGGCAUAGCAGUGGGAGCCACUGACAGAGUAGGCAACUCUCGUAUGCAUUGUGGCCUGCUGCCUAUUGCCACCUAAAUGAAAGACCUGAAUCUCAGUGUUGAGUUUACACACAUAGUUCUCUGAAAAGUCCCAUUUCAUUGGGAUGAAUGUUCUCCUUGAUGUGUCUGAACUGUUUCACCUGAUGAAGCCAGUUUAACUGAUGACUCGCAAUUACAUUGAACCUCUGGUUGAACACACCAGUUAGCUCUCCUACUGUCCCUGUGGUGCUUAAAAGAAACAAAGUAAGAUGAGCAAGAUUUGUAUCAGUAAGAAUGUAUUUUUUUUGCCACUGAUGUUCACAGGGUGCUGUGUUUAACCUGUUCAUGCCUAUAGGGGGCGCUUACAGACCAUACAGGGCUCCUGAGGGCUGUUUUUUGUACAAGAGGCUGAGUGAGUUGAUGACAGUCUGUUUCCCUGCAGCUAACAAGCUAAUGUUCGCUAGCCUGACCUCUCUGUCAUUUUUCACCCGAAGUAAAUUCUCCGCACAGUGUGUGGACACAGCAGUCCCCCUCUUCUUUUUCUUCACCCAGUUCUUCUGUAGUAUCUCUCUCCCACUACAACAUCCUGCUUCUCCCACUGCUCCUGUGUUGCAGUGUCAACUGGGCUGUGGUCCUGCAGGUUGGGCUCAUCAUAACAGCACUUUGUGCACAUGUUGCAUGCAUUUUGUAUUUUCCGUAUUCCGUCCGUAUUUUCAGUAUCACAUGUGAGACGUGAUGGCAGUGCUGACAGGCUUUUUGUCGUGAUCAAGCCUCUGCUUGUAAAAGCAUCAGUUAGAAGUGAGAUGUUCGCAUGUUCCCAGCAGGCCCAUGUGUUGCAGUCGCUGGACCUAGCCUCUGUGACAUAAAAAAAGUUUUAUUUGUUAUAAACUGUCUGUAGGACAGCUGGUACUUUUUUUCAAAUUUUUGCAUGUAGGCCUUAUAAAGUCCUUUAGUGAGGAAGUCAGCACUCAUCUUUGUUGUUUUUCUUUCCUGCCAACUGUGUCCUCCUUCCUAGGAAGCACAUGGCUAUUUUCAUCUAAAAGCAGGAAGGAUUCCACCAGAUCUCAUUAAUUAACUUUUUCCUGGGUGGCAAGUGAUAAUUUUCUGUGACUGUUAGUUGUGUUACGUUUUGCCUCACACUUAUAUUUUCCUAUAUUUCUCAGCCCACUUAUUUUCUUUACUGACUUUUCUCUGGAACAUUUUGUUCUGAUCCUUCAGUCUCUUUAAUGAUUUAUUCAGCUUCUUUAUCUUUUCAGUGUGUGGGCUUGGUGUUGGUGACGUAGAUGGGCUUGGUGGUGGUGACGUAGGACCUGGGACUGGACCUGGGUCUACCUGGAUGUUUCAUCAUAGAUAGUGUCAUCUGGGGGAGUCAUGUUGAGUAAUGCAUUUCAAUUUCUUCUUUUGGCUCUAUAUUUUGUCUGAGAAUUUCUCCAUACCUCACUCAGCUUCACUGUUCGUGAUGGUGGGUUUCUGUUUCUUUUCUUGGUAUCUGUUAACAGAGUAACAGAAUGGUGUGAACAUUUUAAUAGUUGUGGGCCAACUGGGCCAGCAAGGCUUGUUGCAUCAUCAGAAAAUACAUUUAAUUUUAAUAAAUAUGUUUAUUUAUUAAUCAAUGCAUCACAUUAUUCAACAUUGUCUGUUCUCUUCAUUUCAUAACUGUGUUCCUCUUAGUUGCACUGCCUAUAGUGUUCUAGUCCAAUGAUAUUUUAGCUAUCAUCACGCCUGGACUGGCCAUCGGGCAUAGGGGAGACCGGGUAUGGUUGAAACACGGGGGUGGUUGUAACAUCACCAAUUCCACCAAACAGGGACAAGAUACAAGCCAUGUGACAGAUUCAGUCUCCUCAGACAUCCUUUACGAUCACACGUGGUGAUUUUCAACAUGUUGGUGCCAUUUUCCCCAGACUUAGGAGAAAAAAAAUCAAGUUCUGAGGAUGCUUACACUCAUUUUGGAAGCCUGCCUUCCUCUAAGUUGCCAUGUUUGAGGAAAUGUUCUGUGUCGCUGUGCCGAGUGUUGCUGCUGUGGAGGUCUAAGGUGACUGUUUAUUGAUGUGGUGAGUACAUGUGAAAAUGUGAAACUAUCACUCAAUCACAAUCUCUAAUUUAUACAUUUUAAUAUUCAUCUCAUCUCUGUUCCUCUGUGUCCUAUUUUUCAGGAUCCCAUCAUAGUGUUCAUUGUUAGAUCAAGUACUGUGAUAUGAUGCAACUAUUUUCCCACAUUUUUCUAGAUAGCAGUACUGUGAUCAUCAAGUCCAUCAAUUGUUAUUCUUUCUCACCUUUCUUUCUCUGUCUUCUUUCACUUUUUAAAGGUUUCCAUGUUUGAGGAAAUAGUCUGUGUUGCUGUGCUAUUUAUUGAUGUGGUGAAUAAAUGGUCUACAAAAAUA